UGCCUUUGGGGCACUUCCGUCCCCUACAACCUCCAUUGGCAUUUCCACUCCAAAAUGAAAUAAAAUUUCAUAAAAUGAAAUCAAAACACUGUGCCUGCUACUCAGAUGUGCUUUCAAGACAAGUCCCCCGGCUGCCUCUUUUUAUUGGGUUGUCAACCCUAAGCCCGUGUAGAAAUUCUGGAACCAAGACUGGAGCCAGGCAUUAAGACUCUCUUUUCAGACAGUUCUUCUCGAGUCUCCACUGCUUUGGGGUCGGCCACUGUUGUAGUUAUCUAUUGCUGCAUAACAAGUGACCCUAAAACCUGGUGACCUUAAAACAGCAAACAAUUGUUAUUUCACAGUCUCUGAGUGUCAUGAAUCUGGGAGUGGCUUAGCUGGUGUGACUCUGGGCCAGGGCCUCUCAGGUGGCUGCAAUCAGGAUGUUGGCUGGGGGAGCAGUCAUCCAAAGGCUUGACUGGGGCUGGAAGGUCUGCUUCCAAGAUGGCGCACCCGCAUGGCUGUGGCCGCAGUUCUUCACUGCCUAUUGGUAGGGGGCCAUAGGUCCUUGCCAUCAUUCUAAUAAGAAUGACUAACCCUGCCUGGGUGAGGUGGAGAGAGAGAAUGAACAAAGGCUUCACACAGGGAAGAAUGCUGUGACACUGGGUUUUGAAGGAUGAAUAGGAGUUCUUGAGGAAGAUAAUCCAUGAGGUAAGUGCAACGAAGCAGAAAAAACAGGCUUUGAAGUCAGAACAAAAUAGGUUCAAAUCCUGGUUCAGCUACUAGCUGUGUGAGCAUUAGCAAGUCACUUAUCUUCUUUGCGACUGUCACCUUACCUAUAAAUUAGGGAUAACAAAACAAAUGAUGCUCUAGGGUUAUCGUAGAGAUUGGAGAUAGUGCUUGAGAGGCGUUGGGCGGACUGUAGGUGUUCAAUAAAUGAUAAGAAAAAUUCUUCUUUGCGGGCAUCCAUCCACUUCUCCAUUUCAGACAUCUGAGGCCCGAAAAGGUCUGUUGUGCUUGGAGCACAGAGGGAAAUUCUGCGGGCUGGGUCACGUUCAUGGGGCUCUAGCUCAUUCCUGUCUCUUGCCCCAGCCCAGUCCGGUUCAUGCACUCAUUGCCUAGACCAGCCGAUAACGAUUAAUUGUUAGUGGAAGAAUCUGGGUCCUGGCAGCCUCAGUCUGAGACUUGGCUGAUAGAGCAGGUGAGGAGGGACGGGGCGCUUGGCUCUCCCCUCUCUGCUCUUCCCAAGUCAGUUCCACGGGCAACCGACUUGACCCGGACGGAGAUCUACAGCUGCAGAGGUGAAUUUUGUCCCAGGUGCCUUCCUGCAGCACCCAGUCACGGGCCCUGUUCCCCUGCUCUGCUGGCGCGGUGACAUUAGCAUUGUGUAGGCGGCUGUUUAGGAGUAAGAGAUCAAGGUGUUACGUCUGUCGUGGGCAAGGCCAGUAAACUGAGGGGGAGGUAGGCAGCUGGAGGGAAAUUGCCUGGGUUUGCUGGCAGCGGCCUCGCUCCCUGGCUUAACGUGACUCUGUGGUGUGGCUGCGGGUAUGGGGAGCUGGCCACGGCUUGGGUUUUUUUCAACAGUUGGUUCUGGGUCUUAGAGGGACAAAGCGGGAAGAGUGGGAAGCUCUGUUCCUCUGGCUUGCUGCUCUCGUGCAAAUUUUUCUGUGCUGUGUUUCUUCACUAGAAUUCCUCUCUCUGAACCCUGUGCAGGACUUCAGUGUAUGUUGUCUUCUUC
Equus asinus (donkey) is the source of this 1714-nucleotide long non-coding RNA. Lineage: Eukaryota; Metazoa; Chordata; Mammalia; Perissodactyla; Equidae. The record is from Ensembl.